This 492-nucleotide ribosomal RNA is filed under the name uncultured bacterium. Its description in RNAcentral is "partial 16S ribosomal RNA". It matches the Rfam family "Bacterial small subunit ribosomal RNA", at positions 29 to 507 of the family's 1533-position model. The record is from RNAcentral.
AGUGAACGCUGGCGGUAGGCCUAACACAUGCGAGUCGAACGGCAGCACAGUAAGAGCUUGCUCUUACGGGUCGCGAGUGGCGGACGGGUGAGGAAUACAUCGGAAUCUACUUUUUCGUGGGGGAUAACGUAGGGAAACUUACGCUAAUACCGCAUACGACCUACGGGUGAAAGCAGGGGAUCUUCGGACCUUGCGCGAUUGAAUGAGCCGAUGUCGGAUUAGCUAGUUGGCGGGGUAAAGGCCCACCAAGGCGACGAUCCGUAGCUGGUCUGAGAGGAUGAUCAGCCACACUGGAACUGAGACACGGUCCAGACUCCUACGGGAGGCAGCAGUGGGGAAUAUUGGACAAUGGGCGCAAGCCUGAUCCAGCCAUACCGCGUGGGUGAAGAAGGCCUUCGGGUUGUAAAGCCCUUUUGUUGGGAAAGAAAAGCAGCAGGUUAAUACCCCGCUGUUCUGACGGUACCCAAAGAAUAAGCACCGGCUAACUUCGUG